RNAcentral lists this ribosomal RNA (235 nucleotides) under uncultured bacterium. RNAcentral describes it as "partial 16S ribosomal RNA". It matches the Rfam family "Bacterial small subunit ribosomal RNA", at positions 99 to 334 of the family's 1533-position model. The record is from RNAcentral.
CGAACGGGUGAGUAUCACGUGAGGAACCUGCCCCGAAGACCGGGAUAACCCUCCGAAAGGAGAGCUAAUACCGGAUACCCCCACUGAAUCGCAUGGUUUGGUGAGGAAAUGGAUUCCGCUUCGGGAGGGCCUCGCGGCCUAUCAGCUUGUUGGUGGGGUAACGGCCCACCAAGGCAUCGACGGGUAGCUGGUCUGAGAGGACGAUCAGCCACACUGGGACUGAGACACGGCCCAG